This 253-nucleotide ribosomal RNA is filed under the name uncultured bacterium. RNAcentral describes it as "partial 16S ribosomal RNA". It matches the Rfam family "Bacterial small subunit ribosomal RNA", at positions 524 to 776 of the family's 1533-position model. The record is from RNAcentral.
UACGGGGGGUGCGAGCGUUGUCCGGAAUCACUGGGCGUAAAGGGCGCGUAGGUGGUUUGAUAAGGGUGUGGUGAAAGUCCGGGGCUCAACCCCGGAUCUGCCGUGCCGACUGUCAAACUCGAGGGCUGUAGAGGCAGACGGAAUUCCGGGUGUAGCGGUGGAAUGCGUAGAGAUCCGGAAGAACACCGGUGGCGAAGGCGGCCUGCUGGGCAGUUGCUGACACUGAGGCGCGACAGCGUGGGGAGCAAACAGG